GAGUUUGAUCGUGGCUCAGAGUGAACGCUGGCGGCAGGCCUAACACAUGCAAGUCGAGCGGCAGCGCGGGGGCAACCCUGGCGGCGAGCGGCGGACGGGUGAGGAAUGCAUCGGAAUCUACCUCGUUGUGGGGGAUAACCUCGGGAAACCGGGACUAAUACCGCAUACGACCUACGGGUGAAAGUGGGGGACCGCAAGGCCUCACGCGAUGAGAUGAGCCGAUGCCGGAUUAGCUAGUUGGCGGGGUAAAGGCCCACCAAGGCGACGAUCCGUAGCUGGUCUGAGAGGAUGAUCAGCCACACUGGAACUGAGACACGGUCCAGACUCCUACGGGAGGCAGCAGUGGGGAAUAUUGGACAAUGGGCGCAAGCCUGAUCCAGCCAUGCCGCGUGUGUGAAGAAGGCCUCGGUU
RNAcentral lists this ribosomal RNA (411 nucleotides) under uncultured Gammaproteobacteria bacterium. Its description in RNAcentral is "bacterial SSU rRNA". It matches the Rfam family "Bacterial small subunit ribosomal RNA", at positions 9 to 424 of the family's 1533-position model. The record is from RNAcentral. Lineage: Bacteria; Pseudomonadati; Pseudomonadota; Gammaproteobacteria.